GGGGUGGGGGGAGGCAGAGAGGACGCGGACAAAGGAGGCGGCCGGCAGCCCAGCUGUUUUGAAAAAUGCUUCCUGUUUCUUUAAAGGCGCUCGCGGCUCGGGCGGCCGGGCUGGGAGGCGGUGGCGGCGGGAGCUGCCUGCUCUCCGGGCGGCGGCGCUGACUGAUCUCGCGAACCGGGCUUCUGUGUAAACUGAGGCUAAACAAACACAGAUGGGGCGCAGCGGGCGUGCUCCAGAAAUGCUGGCACGGCGGCCGCGACUUCAGAGGACACUCUGAGCGCUCCGGGGACGGACUGCCCGGCAGCUUCGCGGAGCCGGCGGCGCAGCUGCCCCGCGCGCGGGGGAGAGAGGAGAGAGGAGAGAGGAGAGAGGGCGGGCGGGCGGGAGGGAGGGGGUGAGCGCAGGGGAGAGCGCGAGCCUCCGAGGCGCCGAGAGCGACGGCCACCGGGCAGAGCCGGGCGCCGCGUGCAGAGCGAGCGCGGCGGGCGCGCGUCCCGGGCAGCCCCACGCCUCCGCCUCGCGCGCGGCCCGCGCCAUGAAGCACAUCCCGGUUCUCGAGGACGGGCCGUGGAAGACCGUGUGCGUGAAGGAGCUGAACGGCCUCAAGAAGCUCAAGCGGAAAGGCAAGGAGCCGGCGCGGCGCGCGAAUGGCUAUAAAACUUUCCGACUGGACUUGGACGUGCCCGAGCUAGGCGCCGCGGCCACCAACGGGCUGCGGGACAGGACCCAGCGGCUGCAGCCGGUCCCGACCCCGGUGCCAGCCGCAGUGGCGCCGGCCGUCCCCUCAGGUGGAGGCCCGGACACUGCUGGGGAGCGCGGGGGCGCCCGGGCGCCAGAGGUCUUGGACGCGCGGAAACGCGGCUUCUCCCUGGGCGCUGUGGGUCCGGGACUCCCCACGCCGCCGCCGCCGCCUCCAGCACCCCAGGGCCAGGUACCUGGGGGUCCGGAGGUACAGCCUUUCCGGGAACCCGGCCUGCGUCCCCGCAUCUUGCUGUGCGCACCGCCUGCCCGCCCAAUGCCUUCCGCGCCCCCUGCGCCCCCGGAGACCUCCGUGCGCCCUGCGCCCCCCACGCGCCCCGGGGAAAGUUCCUACUCGUCAAUUUCACACGUAAUUUACAAUAACCAUCCGGAUUCCUCCGCGUCGCCUAGGAAACGGCCCGGCGAAGCCACGGCCGCCUCCUCGGAGAUCAAAGCCCUGCAGCAGACCCGGAGGCUCCUGGCGAACGCCCGGGAGCGGACGCGGGUGCACACCAUCAGCGCAGCCUUCGAGGCGCUGCGGAAGCAGGUGCCGUGUUACUCAUACGGGCAGAAGCUCUCCAAACUGGCCAUCCUGAGGAUCGCCUGCAACUACAUCCUGUCCCUGGCCCGGCUGGCUGACCUCGACUACAGCGCCGACCGCAGCAACCUCAGCUUCUCCGAGUGUGUGCAGCGCUGCACCCGCACCCUGCAGGCUGAGGGGCGUGCCAAGAAGCGCAAGGCAGACUCUCCUGGCUCACCAGGGGCUCUGGCCGUAACUUCGCAGCUCGCAGACGCCUGAGACCUCCACGGGCCCUCCCAGCCUGGACACAGUGUGAUCCUUGAUUCACGCCAUGUUCCUGCCCUCCGCACACAGCAGCCAACUCCAGCUGCUCAUAAAUUUUCUGCCUGUCACCCAUGGCGCCCAGGCCAGGCGGGGCGGGAGGCGCUGGGGGUGGCCCGGCCGUACCUGCUUCCAGCUCCCUGGGAAGUGUGGAGGCUGGAAGCCCCGAGCCUGCGCUGGUGCCCAGAAUAACCUCAGCGAAGCCGGGCCCUCCGAGAAGAUGUGGAAGCAGAUCUGCCAAAUGCAAAGAUGCAUGGGCUGCUGGGGAACACAUAAACACCAGCUCACGGCGCGGUUUGCACGGCAUAAUUCUACUUCCAUCAAAUGCCGCAUCGGUGAUGUCGCAGAGGGAAAGGGGCACCCACCCAGUGCUGUCAGGGGUUUUCUCUUGGUGGGGAGAUCGAGGAGUGACUGGCCCUGCGCUGGACCAAGGACAUGCUGUGGGCCCUCUUUCCAGUCGAGCCCGAGGAGAAGGGAGCUCGCCAAGUCCAGCCUCGUCUUCUUCAAGGUGCCGCCCGAUGCUCAGACCACUGCCUCUCAGGGUCAGACAGGAACACGCUGCCUCCCUCUCGCCCUCCCGCCCUCCGGGCCACUCCACGGUGACUGCACUUUGCCCUCUGCCUGGCGGGGAGGGGAGAGCUCAGCCUCCCUCUUGCCUGGGGCCCGAGGCCCACCUUCCGGCUGCAGCAAUUCAUUGCCAAAGACACCACAGAGACACUGAGCAAGACGUGGUGAGGAAACCCCACGGAGAAAAGCCUCACUGGUGCCCUGUGUCCUGUGCCCUCCUGGUGCCCGCUUCCAUCUCAAGCCAAAGACGAGUCAGCAGUUCCACCAGAACUCAUGGAAAGGAGGGAAGUUUGGUGACCACUGGGUGCACCUGACCUUCUGACCUGGACCCUUCUUUCUACACUGAGCCCUGAGCUAGUGGGGUUCAAGAUAAGCCCCCGGGGGGCGUGAGAGGCAGGCUGGGGUGCCUGUCCGGAGUGGGAUCUGAGAUCCCGGCCCCCUUCUCUCCCUCUAACCGGCUGCCCAGGCCUCUGGCCCUGGUUCUCAAUGUUUCCUGGGUCCAGGCUUCUCUUCUUGGGCUCUGAGCACCAUGGGAAGGGGGGACACGGGGAAAAGAAGCGACAUUGACCACCCUAUACCCCACCCCAGGGACCUGCUCAAGGAGACCUGCCUAGGGGGUCUUUGCUCCCCAGCCAACACUCCCUGCCCAUGGCCGGCCCUCCUGGCCGGGCAAAGGAGAUGGCGCCUGCUUGGAGGCCAGUGUUCUCUUACUAGUUUCGCAGGGGGCCGAGGGAGGAAGGGACCAGCGGAAUGGGCCAGUAUGUGGGGGAGUGGGCAUGUGUAACGCCAAGGCCUUCUCCUUUCUUUGCUCAAAUGGCCAAAGCUGUUCAUAUCUGUGCUCAACCGUCUGCUUCAAAUUGAAGUAAAAGCCCCAACGUGUAAAGAAAACGCUUGUGUCGAGUGGACUCUGUGGGUGAGCAGGGCUUUGACUGGUGAGUUGGGGGUGGGGUGGGUGCUGGAGGAGGGGAGAGGUGGAUCUCUGCCUAGAGAUUGGGGGCCCUUCAGGAAGUGGGCAGUGUGUAAGAGUGUGUGUGUGUAUGUGUAAGAGUGUGUGUGUGUAAGUGUGUGUGUGUGUGUGUGUGUGUGUGGACGUGCACACACAAGCAAGGGGCAGAGGGACACUCACCAUGGCCUCCGCCUGCACUAAUGACCAGGGGGCCUGGCAGGAACAUGUGGAGAGCUCGCUCCACUUCGUGCCUCACUCAAUCCAUAGCACAAGUGCAUGAGGUGAGGGCUGUACUUUCAAUCCCAUUUUAUAGAUGAGGAAACUGAGGCCCCAUGGAGACAUGGCUAGUCAGUGACAGCUGGUUCUCAAACCAGGGUGGCCUCACUCCAACUCCUGUGCUCUUAACCCCUCUCCAGCCCCCAGGCGGUCCCAGCUCUAAGUCCUUGGGUGGCCUUGUCACGUCACCUCAUCCCAGUACGCCGUGCCUGAGACGGGGCAAUAAGGGCCCAUUGCAGACGGGAGGGCACUAAGAACAGGAAAGGACUGUGUGGAAGGGCUGUGUGGGUGGCAGGGCUGCCCCAGGGGAGGGAGGCGAAGAGGGAAGAAAGCUGUGCUCAUGCGGGAUGCACCUCUGUCCCUUGUCCCUCCCAUGUCAUCCUCUCCUGUCUGCUCCGGGGGCUUCUGGGCUGGGGCUGGGGUGUCUGCGGGUGAAACACUGUAAGAAGCCGCCUCUUGCACGCGUGGCCCCUUGCAAGGACCAAUAUCUGGGCAGAACCCAGGGACCAAGAUUGCUCAGAGUCCCCGGAACACACACACACACACACACACACACACACACUCACACACACACACACUCACACACACACACACACACUCACACACACACACUCACACACACACACUCACACACACACACUCACACACACACUCACACACACACUCUCACACACACACUCAUACACACACACACACUCACACACACACUCACACACACACACUCACACACACACCUUCUUGUGUGUACAUGCACUCCAGACACACACUUAUGUACAUUCCCAGGUAAGGGAAUUUCAUUUCAGAUAGAUUCAAAUUUCAUCAGCUCCUGGGAGCCAGCCAGCCAGAGUGGGCUGGAAUGGGGGCUGAGAGGGGACAGUUAGGAAGGUCAGUCCCCCUGGGACUCCAGACACAGGGCACAGCCCCACCCAGUUGCCCCUCUGGCCUCUGAGUAAUGCCUGUGGCACUUCCUAGGGAAGCAGGAAAUGGGACCCAUCAGCACCAAACUUGGCACCAGGGGACUCUCUCUGUUACUAACGGGUGGGGGAAGUACCCCCAUCCCACUGCCAGGGGACCAGACCCAGAAACCACCCAUGGCCUCCCCUGCCCACCCCUUUCCCGCUCAUGGCCUUCAUUGCCCACUUCCCUUUCACAACAAAGCUUCUUCUGACCACCAGCGGCAUGCCGCCACGAGGCUGAGUGCUGGUGAUAACGAGAUGGGUCCCAUGGGUGCCUGUCUUCUCAGAACUCAUGGUUCUGUAUAGACAGACAGACAAUGAUAUUUCAUCAGCAGUCUCUAGACAGUUUUCCGUAAGCAGCCCUCCAAGAAGACCCUCACCAGAAUAAACAUGUUGAUGAGCACCCUUCUGGGCCCCAGGAGGGCAUUCCCACACCGGCCGAGGGUUCCUGGUCCCAGAGCCACCUGCAGAUUUGUUUUCUGCUCACCCUCCUUGCUCUGUCGUUUGCUCUGGGUCCUGGCCCCAAAUGCAGUGAUGGCUCAUCAGUCACCAGCCACAGAGGGGCACGGGGACCCGCUCCAGGGACCUGGGGACCUGCGUGAGAGGCUGUGUGUGCACAUCUGCGUGCGUGCCUGGUUCCUGCAGCACCCAUGCCGCCUCCACUCGGCAGGAGGAAACCACAGAGCACGGCCCAAGUCGGAGGGCUCCCCAGCUCACAGGCCGAGCCUCACAGGCUCUUCAAAACCCCUGUGCACGUAGCUGCCCUGCCUCCUGGUCCUGGCCUCAGACCGUCCCAGAAGAGAGGCCUACGUUCUGGGGAGGGGGUUCCACAAGUCCUUGGGUCCCUUUUGGGGAUCACAGCUGGGCCUGAGCCCCGGGUGGAUUCCAUCUCCCCACACUGUACUUCUUCCUGUCCCCAUGGCCCACCACUCUGCCCUGGGACCUUCUCCUUCCCUCCUCCACCUCACCGUGUCCUCCAAGGCCCUGAUUACCACCCCCCCCCCACCACCUCCCCUUUCUCACAAGCCAGGAGUGGGCAGGUCCCAGGGGCUGAGAACUGGAGAACACAGCCAUGGGCAGGGACUGUGCUCGGAGCUGGGGGAACCGACAGAGCCCCUCUGUGCCCACGAUAGGACAGAGCCGUGGGCACAGCGGACUGGGCUGAGACAGGUGCCGUGCAGUCAGCAUGGGAAGCAGGCGAUGGGGCUGGAGCAUGGACUGCGCUUGCCCUGCUCCUUCCAUGCUGCUUCCUGGGCUACAAAGUGGGCGGUGCCAGCAGCCGGAAUGACAAAGAGCCUGGCCUUUGGAGAGCAAGACUCGGACGUCGCCAAGUGUUUCCUUUCAGUGUGUGGCCAUUCUCACUCUGACCUCUUGCCACCACCCCACCUGCACAGCUGUGCUCUGUUUCGAGGCUCCAGGGGUACAGGGAGGCAUGGAGGGGGCCCUGCCUGGGCUGGGGCUGGCAUGGGUGUGGGAGGGGCAGCUGGCCUCACCCUUUGCCCAUGGGUGGUCAGGUCACCUCGUGCACAUUCCCACUGGUCCCCUGGGCCCCAGACCAGAGUGUCUGCCUCCCUGAAGCCAGGUGCCCCGAGGAGUUUGGAUGUAUAAACUAGGACGGUUUUACAGGUGUCUGGGCACGUGUUUAAUCUUCAGAUGGUGCCUCCCAGAGGGCAGAUUGGGCAUAAUUCAUCUCCUUUGGAAAGGGCUUGCAAAAUGUAUAUGUUAAUUACUUUGUUAAAGAAAUGAAUAAAAGUGGAAAAUAUG
Molecule: RNA transcript, 6088 nt
Organism: Myotis daubentonii (Daubenton's bat)
Lineage: Eukaryota; Metazoa; Chordata; Mammalia; Chiroptera; Vespertilionidae
Gene: ATOH8
Gene name: atonal bHLH transcription factor 8
Source: RefSeq, a predicted model, not a curated record